UCCUCUCUUCCUACCCGCCCCCACCUAAUCAGUCACGAAACCCUGUCAGCUCUACCCUUUAACGUCCCCAGAGCCCGCUGGCGUCUUGCCAUGGCCGUUACCCGUUCUCCAGUGCCGGUCCUCAUUAUCUCUCCUCUGGAAUCGAUAGCUCUGACUGGUCUCGCUUUCUCUCUCUCUUGCCCUUCACUCCACCUCUCAUUUAUCCUCCCCGCUGCUGCCACGGUCUGCUUUCUAAGGCGCAUCUGUUCCUGUCACCAUUCUGAUGAAAGCGUCCUGGGAGGCUUCGUGACCUGCAGGACGUCCAAAUGCCUUGGCACCUUCUGGCGUGCCCCGAUUUCCCCGACUCAGCCUUGCUCUAGCUCACCGGAUAAUGCCGUUUUCUGAAAUGACCCCGGUGUGGAGUCCUCACCUGUGCUAUUUCUCUGCCAAGUGGGCUUUCUUCUCUCCUGGCUUUCAGACUGGGUGCCACCCAUUUUUCAAGGCCUAACUCACAAGCCUCUUGAGUUAUGAAAAUUGAGCUCAUAUGGAGAGGUUAACUAUUAAGGAAAAAAUAGUUAUAAGGCUCAUGCAUAUGCUGCUAGGCAAUGUUCAAGUAUUGUGUGGAAGGCAGAUUCUUUGAUUGUCUGAAAGGUCACCGAGCCCACAGCUGGGUGCGGAAUGACAUCCAAGGAAAAGAAUUUCUGUUGCUUUGACAUACAAAGGAGACAAUAGUAUUUAGCACCAACCUGCACUUUCCAAUGCCAACCCUAGAUGGCUGCAAUACUACAAAUCUACCAGUAGAUGACGCUACAGGCUACAUUAUUGUGUACGUCUCCAGCUGUCUUUUUUUUUUUUUUUUUUUUUUUUU
Molecule: non-coding RNA, 847 nt
Organism: Peromyscus maniculatus bairdii (prairie deer mouse)
Lineage: Eukaryota; Metazoa; Chordata; Mammalia; Rodentia; Cricetidae
Source: RefSeq, a predicted model, not a curated record